RNAcentral lists this microRNA precursor (124 nucleotides) under Medicago truncatula (barrel medic). RNAcentral's name for it is "miR2623 stem-loop (mtr-MIR2623)". The record is from miRBase by way of RNAcentral. Lineage: Eukaryota; Viridiplantae; Streptophyta; Magnoliopsida; Fabales; Fabaceae.
AUUAACAAAUAAAUACCUUCGGCUGUACUGUCCUUCAUGAACAAAUUUGGCCUUCUAAACAAAUUGUUUAGAUAGACUUUGUUGUUUAGGAUGGACCGUGUAGCCUAAGUUAUUUUAUGUUAAG